UGGGGAAUAUUGGACAAUGGGGGCAACCCUGAUCCAGCCAUGCCGCGUGAGUGAUGAAGGCCUUAGGGUUGUAAAGCUCUUUCGCACGCGACGAUGAUGACGGUAGCGUGAGAAGAAGCCCCGGCUAACUUCGUGCCAGCAGCCGCGGUAAUACGAAGGGGGCAAGCGUUGUUCGGAAUUACUGGGCGUAAAGCGCACGCAGGCGGCGUGACGCGUCAGGAGUGAAAUCCCCGGGCUCAACCUGGGAACUGCUUUUGAAACGGUCAUGCUAGAAUCAUGGAGAGGGUAGCGGAAUUCCGAGUGUAGAGGUGAAAUUCGUAGAUAUUCGGAAGAACACCGGUGGCGAAGGCGGCUACCUGGCCAUGUAUUGACGCUCAGGUGCGAAAGCGUGGGGAGCAAACA
This 402-nucleotide ribosomal RNA is filed under the name uncultured Rhodospirillaceae bacterium. RNAcentral describes it as "partial 16S ribosomal RNA". It matches the Rfam family "Bacterial small subunit ribosomal RNA", at positions 355 to 774 of the family's 1533-position model. Lineage: Bacteria; Pseudomonadati; Pseudomonadota; Alphaproteobacteria; Rhodospirillales; Rhodospirillaceae. The record is from RNAcentral.